AUGAACGCUGGUGACGUGCCUAAUACAUGCAAGUCGAGCGAACGGACGAGAAGCUUGCUUCUCUGAUGUUAGCGGCGGACGGGUGAGUAACACGUGGAUAACCUACCUAUAAGACUGGGAUAACUUCGGGAAACCGGAGCUAAUACCGGAUAAUAUUUUGAACCGCAUGGUUCAAAAGUGAAAGACGGUCUUGCUGUCACUUAUAGAUGGAUCCGCGCUGCAUUAGCUAGUUGGUAAGGUAACGGCUUACCAAGGCAACGAUGCAUAGCCGACCUGAGAGGGUGAUCGGCCACACUGGAACUGAGACACGGUCCAGACUCCUACGGGAGGCAGCAGUAGGGAAUCUUCCGCAAUGGGCGAAAGCCUGACGGAGCAACGCCGCGUGAGUGAUGAAGGUCUUCGGAUCGUAAAACUCUGUUAUUAGGGAAGAACAUAUGUGUAAGUAACUGUGCACAUCUUGACGGUACCUAAUCAGAAAGCCACGGCUAACUACGUG
RNAcentral lists this ribosomal RNA (496 nucleotides) under uncultured bacterium. RNAcentral describes it as "partial 16S ribosomal RNA". It matches the Rfam family "Bacterial small subunit ribosomal RNA", at positions 29 to 507 of the family's 1533-position model. The record is from RNAcentral.